GGCAGAAUGGCCGAGCGGUCUAAGGCGUGUGACUCAAGCGAAGGCAAUAUUACGUAAUCCGCUUGCCCGAUAAGGGUUUCUCAUCAUCGUAUGAUGGCAGGGGUUCGAAUCCCCUUUCUGUCA
Molecule: non-coding RNA, 123 nt
Organism: Armillaria nabsnona
Lineage: Eukaryota; Fungi; Basidiomycota; Agaricomycetes; Agaricales; Physalacriaceae
Source: the annotation of a GenBank genome assembly